GCUUGUCUCAAAGAUUAAGCCAUGCAUGUCCAAGUAUAAACAUUUAUACUGUGAAACUGCGAAUGGCUCAUUAAAUCAGUUAUAAUUUAUUUGAUAAUAUUUUUUUACUUGGAUAACCGUAAAAAUUUUAGAGCUAAUACAUGCAAUAAACUUGACUUUUGGAAGAGUUGUAUUUAUUAGAUACAAAACUAACCAAUUUUGAAAAAAAUUGAAUUUGGUGAUUCAUAAUAACUUUACGAAUCUUUUCUUUUGAAAAGAUGAUUCAUUCAAAUUUCUGCCCUAUCAGCUUUGAUGGUAAGGUAUUGGCUUACCAUGGCAAUAACGGGUGACGGGGAAUUAGGGUUUGAUUCCGGAGAGGGAGCCUGAGAAACGGCUACCACUUCUAAGGAAGGCAGCAGG
This 399-nucleotide ribosomal RNA is filed under the name uncultured eukaryote. RNAcentral's name for it is "partial small subunit ribosomal RNA". It matches the Rfam family "Eukaryotic small subunit ribosomal RNA", at positions 30 to 432 of the family's 1831-position model. The record is from RNAcentral.